UAUUGGUCAAUAGCCUAACGGCUGAACCAGCAACUUGGAGGAAUGUAUAGGGAAAGCUGGUAAAAUGUGAUGUACCUAGUAAUAUUAGAAAUUAAUAUGAGAUUAACUAAGUUAAUUAAAAUUCAAAGUAGAUUUUGAUUAUGACAUUAUCUGCUAAGGUCUUGACCAAGUCACGUGCCAGCAGUCGCGGUAAUACGUGGUAGACGAGUGUUAUUCAUCUUUUAAAGGUUUAAAGGGUACCUAGACGGUUAAUCAAGCGAAAAAGUACUAAUUAACUAGAGUUUAAUGUAAGAAAGUCUAGUACAGUGAGUGGAGAGAUAAAAUUCAUUGAUACCACUAUGGAACUGGUAAGGGCGAAGGCAAUUUUCUAUGUAAAAAACUGACGUUGAAGGACGAAGGA
This 400-nucleotide ribosomal RNA is filed under the name Melanotrema lynceodes. RNAcentral's name for it is "SSU rRNA". It matches the Rfam family "Bacterial small subunit ribosomal RNA", at positions 362 to 760 of the family's 1533-position model. Lineage: Eukaryota; Fungi; Ascomycota; Lecanoromycetes; Ostropales; Graphidaceae. The record is from RNAcentral.